Long non-coding RNA from Homo sapiens (human), 1974 nucleotides. RefSeq lists it as uncharacterized. NCBI's taxonomy places the organism in Eukaryota, Metazoa, Chordata, Mammalia, Primates, Hominidae. The transcript is spliced from 4 exons. The record is from RefSeq and is a predicted model, not a curated record.
UUCAGCCCGCAUAAGGAGGCUUAAAGCUGUGCCUAGGACCCCAGCUCAGGCACCGAACAACAGGGUUGUCAGCCUCUGCACCACAGCUGAUCCUCAGGAGACCCAGUCUCAGUUUCGGCCCUUCUCACUGCAGUUGCAGAAUCUAUUCCACCUGUGAAGUGACCUGCUGAGAAACAAGCACCCAUCUGAACCAAUGAGAUGUGCUGGGGCUGAACAGCCUCUAUGUAACAGCAGAUCCUGAGGGGGACAGUCUCAGCUCUAGCCCUUCUUUCUGCAGUUGGGAAACCUCUCUGCCCCUGCAAGGAACUACUAGAAGGCACAUCCAUGUAGGCCAUCUGGGCACACUCACUAGCUUUCAUCCCACAGCACAUCUUGGUGGUCCAGUCCUGGCUCAGGGUACUCUCUCUGCAGUCCCAACUGUGCAGAGUAAUCCUGGGAGACACUCCAGUUUGGGCCCUGGGACAGGCUUACAGGCAAGGGUCCUGGCCAGCCUAGGUACCCUCCUUGUUCUUCCCCAGGUGAUAAAACCCAGAUGGAAGAACCAUGCCAAUCUCGGAGCCCUAGCAAGAUUCACAAUACACAUGGGCUUAGAGCACCCUCCAGUGCUGAGACAGCUGCAGUGUCCGUGGGCUCAUGGAACAUAACAGUCUGCUUAGAACCUCUGGAAGACCCACCGAAGAAGGUCAGACACAAACAAAGCCAGAAUAUGAAUAUUAAAAUAUGGAAUCCCUCCAUGUGGAGAACAUAUUGCAUGUCCAUAAGCAUAAAGAACUUUCAGAGAAAUGUGACCUCACCAAACAUACAGAAUAAGGAGUCAGAGACUGACCUUAAAGGUAUGAAGAUAUGUGAUCUUGCAAACAAAGAAUUCAAAAUAGCUGUUUUAAAGAAGUUCAGUGAGUAUCAAGGAAAUACAGAGAAAUUAUUCAAGAUUAUCAGAGAAAUUUAUCAGAGAUAUUGAAAUAAUUUUUUUAAAUUUAACAGAAAUCCUGGAGUGAAAAAUACAAUGACUAAAUAAAUAAUGCAAUAAAGAGCAUCAACAGCAGAAUUGUUCAAACAAAAGAAAGAAUCAGUGGGCUCAAAGACAAAAUAUUUGAAAAUACACAGAGAAGAAAGAAAAAAGGAUAAAAAAGAAGAGAAAAAGCUUAUGAAAUCUAUGGUGCCACAUCAUAAAAGCAAAUAUCUGUGUUAUUGGAUUUCAAGGUGGAGCUAAGAAAGACAAAAGAGUAGAAUUAUUAUUUCAAGAAAUAUUAGAAAGCUUUCCAAACCUAGAGAAAUGUAUAAAUAUCCAGGUCAGGAAAAUCAAAGGUCAGUAAUCAGAUUUAACCCAAAUAAGACUACCUUGAGACAUAAUCAAACGCUUAAAGAUCAAAGACAAAGAGAGGGUCCCAAAAUCUUCUGAGAGAAAAGAGGUAAAAAACAUAUAAUGUAGCUCCAAUACAUCUGGCAGCUGACUUCUCAGCAGAAAACUUGCCAGCCAGGAGGAAUCAUUCAGAAUGAUGAAGAAGGGGAAAGAAGCUUCAACCAAGAAUUCUGUACCCAACAGAGCUAUCCUUCAGAAAUGAAGAAAAGAUAAAUAUUUUCCCAGACAACCAAAGUUGAAGUAAUUCAUUACUACUAGACAUGUCAUACAAGAAAUAACGAAGGAGGUCUUCAAACUGAAAGAAAUGCACACUAACCUGUUACAGAAAAACAUUUGAAGCUGCCUGGAGCUAUGGGAGGGGCAAUAAAAGGACUGCUGUGGCCACCACAACUGGGACUGCACUGUGUCAGAUCUGAAGCGAGCACAGCCCUGAGUCUCAUCCAGAGCCCAUUAUAACCAUUGCUUGGCCAACAUCUAUGUUUGUUCAAACCUCAGCGCUCUACAGUCAGCAGAUGGCAAAGCCAACAAGGCUUUUCUCUUUCCCUUUAGGGUGGAAAGUUUCCCCCCAGCCCAGUAGAAAUGGGGUUUCACCGUGUUGGCAUGCUGGUCUCAAA